GUCCACGCCGUAAACGAUGGGCACUAGGUGUGGGAGGUGUCGACUCCUCCCGUGCCGUCGCUAACGCAUUAAGUGCCCCGCCUGGGGAGUACGGCCGCAAGGCUAAAACUCAAAGGAAUUGACGGGGGCCCGCACAAGCAGCGGAGCAUGUGGUUUAAUUCGACGCAACGCGAAGAACCUUACCUGGGCUUGACAUGUAUGUGACAGCCGUGGAAACACGGCCUUCCUUCGGGACACUUACACAGGUGGUGCAUGGCUGUCGU
RNAcentral lists this ribosomal RNA (263 nucleotides) under uncultured bacterium. Its description in RNAcentral is "partial 16S ribosomal RNA". It matches the Rfam family "Bacterial small subunit ribosomal RNA", at positions 793 to 1055 of the family's 1533-position model. The record is from RNAcentral.